RNAcentral lists this ribosomal RNA (198 nucleotides) under uncultured Amphibacillus sp. RNAcentral describes it as "partial 16S ribosomal RNA". It matches the Rfam family "Bacterial small subunit ribosomal RNA", at positions 335 to 525 of the family's 1533-position model. Lineage: Bacteria; Bacillati; Bacillota; Bacilli; Caryophanales; Bacillaceae. The record is from RNAcentral.
GGCCUACGGGAGGCAGCAGUAGGGAAUCUUCCGCAAUGGACGAAAGUCUGACGGAGCAACGCCGCGUGAACGAAGAAGGUUUUCGGAUCGUAAAGUUCUGUUGUUAGGGAAGAACAAGUACCGUUCAAAUAGGGCGGUACCUUGACGGUACCUAACGAGGAAGCCCCGGCUAACUACGUGCCAGCAGCCGCGGUAAUA